CUGAAGACGAGAAAGCGGCGACCGUUUGACACAAUGAGAUCUCCAGUGGAUCAGCUGGUUAUCUAAUCAUCCGAUCAUAUGGCAGCACGAUACAGCGUCAUGCAGAUGCAGGUCAAGAGCUUCAGUUAAUGUGUAACAACAAACAUCAGAAUGAGAGGAAAUGUAAUCUCUGUGGCUUGGUUGUUGUGACCACUGAGCUUGUUGGAGGUUGAAAGAAACUGCGGAUCUCAUGCAGGGGAAUUUCAUGCACAACCUGGAAUAGACGGUGUUCAGACUGAAGCGGCCAUCAUCUCCAACGCUUCCAUCGCACGGCCCAUUAAUCUGAUCAACAGCAUGGGCGGUGAGCACUCACGCCUUUGCCAACACCCACCAUCAUCACCGCUGGGAACCGGAGCGUUAUUGGAAAGAAUUUCAAUAAAGUCUUCUUCCUGUGGCAGACUGGAAAUGUCACCACAGUGGUGGUCCAAAAUCCUGCUCUUCUGUUUCAUCACUUCAUCAAAGCUAAUAGAUGGAUUUCUAAAAAAAAAAAAAAAAGAAAAGAAAAAGAAAUUCUUAAUAAGAAAGUUUUAUUACAUUGGAACUGUAUGAGGAAUAAGUUUACAAGAAAAUCCCAGAUACAUUUCCCUUUACACACUGGUCUUGCAGUGGAAAAAGUUUUUAACUUUACUGUUCUCUGUAGUGGGGGGGCACGGUGGCUUAGUGGUUAGCACGUUCGCCUCACACCUCCAGGGUUGGGGGUUCGAUUCCCACCUCCGCCUUGUGUGUGU
Molecule: long non-coding RNA, 767 nt
Organism: Tachysurus fulvidraco (yellow catfish)
Lineage: Eukaryota; Metazoa; Chordata; Actinopteri; Siluriformes; Bagridae
Exons: 3
Source: RefSeq, a predicted model, not a curated record